RNAcentral lists this ribosomal RNA (496 nucleotides) under uncultured bacterium. RNAcentral's name for it is "partial 16S ribosomal RNA". It matches the Rfam family "Bacterial small subunit ribosomal RNA", at positions 30 to 523 of the family's 1533-position model. The record is from RNAcentral.
AUUGAACGCUGGCGGAAUGCUUUACACAUGCAAGUCGAACGGUAGAGGGGGCAACCCCUCGAGAGUGGCGAACGGGUGAGUAAUAUAUCGGAACGUGCCCAGUCGUGGGGGAUAACGUAGCGAAAGUUACGCUAAUACCGCAUACGAUCUAAGGAUGAAAGCGGGGGAUCGCAAGAACUCGCGCGAUUGGAGCGGCCGAUAGCAGAUUAGGGAGUCGGUGGGGUAAAGGCGUACCAAGCCAACGAUCUGUAGCUGGUCUGAGAGGACGACCAGCCACACUGGAACUGAGACACGGUCCAGACUCCUACGGGAGGCAGCAGUGGGGAAUUUUGGACAAUGGACGCAAGUCUGAUACAGCCAUUCCGCGUGCAGGAUGAAGGCCCUCGGGUUGUAAACUGCUUUUGUACGGAACGAAAAGGUCUCUCUUAAUACGGGGGGCUCAUGACGGUACCGUAAGAAUAAGCACCGGCUAACUACGUGCCAGCCGCCGCAGUAA